GCCGGGAUGGCAGAGCGGUAAUGCGCAAGCCUGGAAAGCUUGUGUCCGAAAGGACUCCUGAGUUCGAACGAAAGCCCUUUUUCUUUUUAGCGAAAAAUCCCAAAAAGAAAAACUGGAAGAUUUUUAUAUUUUAGUUUUUAUUUGGCGCUGACUGUGGAAAAGGGUUUUUAGGAAAUCUCAGUCCCGGCG
This 189-nucleotide transfer RNA is filed under the name Microcaldota archaeon. RNAcentral's name for it is "tRNA-Ser". Lineage: Archaea; Nanobdellati; Microcaldota. The record is from RNAcentral.